GAUGAAGAACGUAGCGAAAUGCGAUAAGUAAUGUGAAUUGCAGAAUUCAGUGAAUCAUCGAAUCUUUGAACGCACAUUGCGCCCCCCAGUAUUCUGGCGGGCAUGCCUGUUCGAGCGUCAUUUCAACCAUCAAGCCCUGCUUGUGUUGGGGUCCUGCGGCUGCCCGCAGGCCCUGAAAACCAGUGGCGGGCUCGCUAGUCACACCGAGCGCAGUAGCACAUCUCGCUCAGGGCGUGCGGCGGGCUCCAGCCGUUAAAGCACCCACCUUUCGCAAGGUUGACCUCGGAUCAGGUAGGAAUACCCGCUGAACUUAAGCAUAUCAUAAGCGGAGGA
Molecule: unclassified non-coding RNA, 333 nt
Filed under: soil metagenome
Description: partial contains 5.8S ribosomal RNA, internal transcribed spacer 2, and large subunit ribosomal RNA
Rfam family: 5.8S ribosomal RNA (bases 1-120)
Source: RNAcentral